AACGAACGCUGGCGGCAUGCCUAACACAUGCAAGUCGAACGAGAUCUUCGGGUCUAGUGGCGCACGGGUGCGUAACGCGUGGGAAUCUGCCCUUUGGUUCGGAAUAACAGUUGGAAACGACUGCUGAUACCGGAUGAUGACGAAAGUCCAAAGAUUUAUCGCCAGAGGAUGAGCCCGCGUAGGAUUAGCUAGUUGGUGUGGUAAAGGCGCACCAAGGCGACGAUCCUUAGCUGGUCUGAGAGGAUGAUCAGCCACACUGGGACUGAGACACGGCCCAGACUCCUACGGGAGGCAGCAGUGGGGAAUAUUGGACAAUGGGCGAAAGCCUGAUCCAGCAAUGCCGCGUGAGUGAUGAAGGCCUUAGGGUUGUAAAGCUCUUUUACCCGGGAUGAUAAUGACAGUACCGGGAGAAUAAGCUCCGGCUAACUCCGUGCCAGCCGCCGCAGUAA
RNAcentral lists this ribosomal RNA (449 nucleotides) under uncultured bacterium. Its description in RNAcentral is "partial 16S ribosomal RNA". It matches the Rfam family "Bacterial small subunit ribosomal RNA", at positions 29 to 523 of the family's 1533-position model. The record is from RNAcentral.